AGUCAUGGUGUCUCUUCACAGCAAUAGAAACCAUAAUUAAGACAAUUAUCAUGGCCCCUGUGCAAGGAUGAUAUGCAAAUUUGUGAGACUUUCCAUAUAUUA
Molecule: small nuclear RNA, 102 nt
Organism: Peromyscus californicus insignis
Lineage: Eukaryota; Metazoa; Chordata; Mammalia; Rodentia; Cricetidae
Source: RefSeq, a predicted model, not a curated record